RNAcentral lists this ribosomal RNA (305 nucleotides) under uncultured bacterium. Its description in RNAcentral is "bacterial SSU rRNA". It matches the Rfam family "Bacterial small subunit ribosomal RNA", at positions 338 to 660 of the family's 1533-position model. The record is from RNAcentral.
CCUACGGGGGGCAGCAGUGGGGAAUAUUGGGCAAUGGGGGAAACCCUGAUGCAGCGACGCCGCGUGGGUGAAGAAGCGCCUCGGCGCGUAAAGCCCUGUCAGCAGGGAAGAAAAUGACGGUACCUGAAGAAGAAGCCCCGGCUAACUACGUGCCAGCAGCCGCGGUAAUACGUAGGGGGCAAGCGUUAUCCGGAUUUACUGGGUGUAAAGGGGGCGCAGACGGCGAUGCAAGCCAGGAGUGAAAGCCCGGGGCCCAACCCCGGGACUGCUCUUGGAACUGCGUGGCUAGAGUGCAGGAGGGGCAG